CUUAACUUCAGUUAGUGGAUCAAUUGUUUCCCUGGGCAUGUGUUAUUACCGAAGUGUGUUAUCAAGUUCAAAUGUCGUUUUUGUUGUUUAUGUUUAUUUAUGCUCGUCUGAUUGUUCCUGCUUCAUGUAGCAUUUGUUGUGAUGCUCAUCUCAUCAUAUGUUCCAUGGAGUAGCCAAUCAUUUAGUAACCUUUCUAUUUUCAGUAUAAUGACAUUUUAAAAUUACAAAUUGUACAAGCUUUACUUGAAAAGAAAAAAAAACCAUGAGUACCUUUUACAAACUCUGUUUUAAUAACAUAGUAAGAAGAAAAAUCUAAUACUCCCUCCGUCCACGAAAUGAGUACCCAUUUGUG
Molecule: long non-coding RNA, 352 nt
Filed under: Salvia miltiorrhiza (redroot sage)
Lineage: Eukaryota; Viridiplantae; Streptophyta; Magnoliopsida; Lamiales; Lamiaceae
Description: long non-coding RNA (SMIL_LNC012735)
Source: RNAcentral